This 461-nucleotide ribosomal RNA is filed under the name Microichthyurus sp. UPOL 001305. Its description in RNAcentral is "partial 16S ribosomal RNA". The record is from RNAcentral. Lineage: Eukaryota; Metazoa; Arthropoda; Insecta; Coleoptera; Cantharidae.
CAUGUCCUUUUGAUGUUAAUUUAAGGUCUAAUCUGCUCAAUGAAAUAAUUAAAUAGCUGCAGUAUAUUGACUGUACAAAGGUAGCAUAAUAAUUUGCUUUUUUAUUGAAAGCUGGUAUGAAUGAUUGGACGAGAAAGUUUCUGUCUCAUUUUUAUAUAAUUGAAUUUUACUUUUAAGUUCAAAGGCUUAAAUUUUACUUUUAGACGAUAAGACCCUAUAGAGCUUUACUCAAUAUACUUAUAAUAAUUUUUAGUAUUAUAAUAAUAUUAUAUUUUACCUGAGUUUAAUUGGGGUGAUUUAAAAAUUUAAUAAACUUUUUAUUUAGACAAUUAUUUAUAAAUAAUUAAAAGAUCUGAUUUUAUCAAGAUAAAAUUAAGUUACCUUAGGGAUAACAGCGUAAUUUAGUCUUUAAGUUCAUAUUGAAUACUAAGUUUGCGACCUCGAUGUUGGAUUAAAAUUUA